Molecule: ribosomal RNA, 427 nt
Filed under: uncultured bacterium
Lineage: Bacteria
Description: partial 16S ribosomal RNA
Rfam family: Bacterial small subunit ribosomal RNA
Source: RNAcentral
UGGGGAAUAUUGCACAAUGGGCGCAAGCCUGAUGCAGCCAUGCCGCGUGUAUGAAGAAGGCCUUCGGGUUGUAAAGUACUUUCAGCGAGGAGGAAGGCGUUGUGGUUAAUAACCGCAGCGAUUGACGUUACUCGCAGAAGAAGCACCGGCUAACUCCGUGCCAGCAGCCGCGGUAAUACGGAGGGUGCAAGCGUUAAUCGGAAUUACUGGGCGUAAAGCGCACGCAGGCGGUUUGUCAAGUCGGAUGUGAAAUCCCCGGGCUCAACCUGGGAACUGCAUCCGAAACUGGCAGGCUAGAGUCGUGUAGAGGGGGGUAGAAUUCCAGGUGUAGCGGUGAAAUGCGUAGAGAUCUGGAGGAAUACCGGUGGCGAAGGCGGCCCCCUGGACAAAGACUGACGCUCAGGUGCGAAAGCGUGGGGAGCAAACA